RNAcentral lists this ribosomal RNA (500 nucleotides) under uncultured bacterium. Its description in RNAcentral is "partial 16S ribosomal RNA". It matches the Rfam family "Bacterial small subunit ribosomal RNA", at positions 30 to 523 of the family's 1533-position model. The record is from RNAcentral.
AUUGAACGCUGGCGGCAGGCCUAACACAUGCAAGUCGAGCGGAUGAGGGAAGCUUGCUUCCCGAUUUAGCGGCGGACGGGUGAGUAAUGCCUAGGAAUCUGCCUAUUAGUGGGGGAUAACGUUCCGAAAGGAACGCUAAUACCGCAUACGUCCUACGGGAGAAAGUGGGGGAUCUUCGGACCUCACGCUAAUAGAUGAGCCUUGGUCGGAUUAGCUAGUUGGUGAGGUAACGGCUCACCAAGGCGACGAUCCGUAGCUGGUCUGAGAGGAUGAUCAGCCACACUGGAACUGAGACACGGUCCAGACUCCUACGGGAGGCAGCAGUGGGGAAUAUUGGACAAUGGGCGAAAGCCUGAUCCAGCCAUGCCGCGUGUGUGAAGAAGGUCUUCGGAUUGUAAAGCACUUUAAGUUGGGAGGAAGAGUUGUAAGCUAAUAUCUUGCAGCUUUGACGUUACCAACAGAAUAAGCACCGGCUAACUCUGUGCCAGCCGCCGCGGUAA